GAUGAGCGCUGGCGGCGUGCCUAAUACAUGCAAGUCGAGCGAACAGACGAGGAGCUUGCUCCUCUGACGUUAGCGGCGGACGGGUGAGUAACACGUGGAUAACCUACCUAUAAGACUGGGAUAACUUCGGGAAACCGGAGCUAAUACCGGAUAACAUGUUGAACCGCAUGGUUCAACAGUGAAAGACGGUCUUGCUGUCACUUAUAGAUGGAUCCGCGCCGCAUUAGCUAGUUGGUAAGGUAACGGCUUACCAAGGCAACGAUGCGUAGCCGACCUGAGAGGGUGAUCGGCCACACUGGAACUGAGACACGGUCCAGACUCCUACGGGAGGCAGCAGUAGGGAAUCUUCCGCAAUGGGCGAAAUCCUGACGGAGCAACGCCGCGUGAGUGAAGAAGGUCUUCGGAUCGUAAAACUCUGUUAUUAGGGAAGAACAAAUGUGUAAGUAACUAUGCACGUCUUGACGGUACCUAAUCAGAAAGCCACGGCUAACUACGUG
This 497-nucleotide ribosomal RNA is filed under the name uncultured bacterium. RNAcentral's name for it is "partial 16S ribosomal RNA". It matches the Rfam family "Bacterial small subunit ribosomal RNA", at positions 28 to 507 of the family's 1533-position model. The record is from RNAcentral.